GCCAAUCUGAGAAAGAGUAUUAGACGGUCCAAUCAACAAAACCUUCCUUCCACCUCCUUUUUAUCUUACAAUCACACAACUUUCGUAUCAAUCAGAUUCACAUCUAAAUCAUAACCGAAACCCACAAACCAGAUAUCUCGGCGAGGUGUUCACGUGUCGCUUUGUAAAAUUUAUUUGCCCUUUUGUAUCGAAGAUAUCGACUUGAUCUGUUGAUAACCAAUUCAACCUUCUCUUUCUUUUACUGAAUUUCGACAGAAGAAGAACGGACCGGUUCCGAAUUAAGCAGAAGAACGCAUAAGCAAUACAGCCUUCAGCUUGAGGUACGAAACAAGAUGAACAUAACACCCCUGAGAGCUGUGGUACCCUUUCGGUACAUAUACCGAAUCAGAGUACGUGUAUCAAGAGUCUGGAGACCUAGAUUCCGUAAGACUGAGAAAUAUGAUGGGCUGUACUAUGUGUUGAUCGACCAAAAUACAUUUACGGCUGCAGCAUAAACGUGAAAGCACCACAUGAACGUAAAAAAAAAAGAGGAGACCAAGUGUGGGAUCACUGUUCAAAACCUGAGAAGGGAAACUCUCAACAUCACUCUUUGGGGAGACAUCGCCAGAUCAUUCGAUGUUGGGACCGUGCAAAGAUCAGCUCCGCCUUUGCUUGCUGUGUUCACAAGCAUGAAUCCUGGAGAAUAUGAUGGUUCUCCAAAACAGGAGACAAGGUGCGCAUAACCGGUGUCAUCUCCAACCAUGAAACAGUUAAGAGCGGUCGAACAACCAAACCGAGUAACUGUGUCAGAGCUGAAUGCGCUCAAUCCAUUAGAUUACACGGUAUUUAUACAUAUAAUUAUCCAUAUCUACCCACAGUUCUGACAUUUUAUAUUCUAUGUCACAAGCUUAUACACUCGAGGCCUCCAAAAUCCUCCUAUAUAAUAUCUCUUAAUAACUAUUUAUGUGCUACAGAACAAGACAGUUUACUGCAGUGCCUCAAUUCGGAAAUUUGCACGAGACGGAUGGUGGUAUAGGAGCUGCGCAACCUCAGGCUGUUACAGGAUGGUGCAUAAAAAUGAGGAGGCGGCCAAUAAGUACUUCUGUCCAAUACAUGGUCUUCAAAAACCACAACCAUCGUAAGUGCUUAUAUAUCAAAGAUAGCAGAGGUGGUACUUUUAUUCAGUAUCAUCAUCGAUUCAUAGGUAUAUACCGGACAUCAAAUUACCUUGGAAAAAAAUCACUACACGACUUUGAAAGGAAUUGGUGGAUAAAGCGUAAUUUCAUUUGUUAUAACAUAACUAACUCUUUCCCGUAUGAUACACAUGCAGCUAUUCAGUCAAUAUGACGGUCGAGGACAAAGAGAGUCGGGCCACAUUGACUGUGAUGGGAAGAGAGGCUGCCCAACUUUUCAACAGUAGCUGUCAAGAACUGCUAGAGAAGAGGUUCUCCCCAACUG
Molecule: RNA transcript, 1437 nt
Organism: Fragaria vesca subsp. vesca
Lineage: Eukaryota; Viridiplantae; Streptophyta; Magnoliopsida; Rosales; Rosaceae
Exons: 5
Source: RefSeq, a predicted model, not a curated record